GAUGAACGCUGGCGGCGUGCUUAACACAUGCAAGUCGAACGAUGAAGCCCAGCUUGCUGGGUGGAUUAGUGGCGAACGGGUGAGUAACACGUGAGUAACCUGCCCUUAACUCUGGGAUAAGCCUGGGAAACUGGGUCUAAUACCGGAUAGGAGCGUCCACCGCAUGGUGGGUGUUGGAAAGAUUUAUCGGUUUUGGAUGGACUCGCGGCCUAUCAGCUUGUUGGUGAGGUAAUGGCUCACCAAGGCGACGACGGGUAGCCGGCCUGAGAGGGUGACCGGCCACACUGGGACUGAGACACGGCCCAGACUCCUACGGGAGGCAGCAGUGGGGAAUAUUGCCCAAUGGGCGCAAGCCUGAUGCAGCGACGCCGCGUGAGGGAUGACGGCCUUCGGGUUGUAAACCUCUUUCAGUAGGGAAGAAGCGAAAGUGACGGUACCUGCAGAAGAAGCACCGGCUAACUACGUG
This 466-nucleotide ribosomal RNA is filed under the name uncultured bacterium. RNAcentral describes it as "partial 16S ribosomal RNA". It matches the Rfam family "Bacterial small subunit ribosomal RNA", at positions 28 to 507 of the family's 1533-position model. The record is from RNAcentral.